This 591-nucleotide ribosomal RNA is filed under the name Clostridioides difficile. Its description in RNAcentral is "bacterial SSU rRNA". It matches the Rfam family "Bacterial small subunit ribosomal RNA", at positions 228 to 841 of the family's 1533-position model. The record is from RNAcentral. Lineage: Bacteria; Bacillati; Bacillota; Clostridia; Peptostreptococcales; Peptostreptococcaceae.
GACCCGCGUCUGAUUAGCUAGUUGGUAAGGUAACGGCUUACCAAGGCGACGAUCAGUAGCCGACCUGAGAGGGUGAUCGGCCACAUUGGAACUGAGACACGGUCCAAACUCCUACGGGAGGCAGCAGUGGGGAAUAUUGCACAAUGGGCGAAAGCCUGAUGCAGCAACGCCGCGUGAGUGAUGAAGGCCUUCGGGUCGUAAAACUCUGUCCUCAAGGAAGAUAAUGACGGUACUUGAGGAGGAAGCCCCGGCUAACUACGUGCCAGCAGCCGCGGUAAUACGUAGGGGGCUAGCGUUAUCCGGAUUUACUGGGCGUAAAGGGUGCGUAGGCGGUCUUUCAAGUCAGGAGUGAAAGGCUACGGCUCAACCGUAGUAAGCUCUUGAAACUGGGAGACUUGAGUGCAGGAGAGGAGAGUGGAAUUCCUAGUGUAGCGGUGAAAUGCGUAGAUAUUAGGAGGAACACCAGUUGCGAAGGCGGCUCUCUGGACUGUAACUGACGCUGAGGCACGAAAGCGUGGGGAGCAAACAGGAUUAGAUACCCUGGUAGUCCACGCUGUAAACGAUGAGUACUAGGUGUCGGGGGUUACCCCC